Long non-coding RNA from Gallus gallus (chicken), 725 nucleotides. The record is from Ensembl. NCBI's taxonomy places the organism in Eukaryota, Metazoa, Chordata, Aves, Galliformes, Phasianidae.
CUCGGCAACCACAUCAUCUAAUUCCUUUAGAACCCUGGGAUGCAUGCCAUCCAUCCCGAUAGAUUUGUACACAUUCAGCCUUAUGAGGUAGUCUCAGACUUGCCCUGCUGUCAGAGGCCAAAUUAGCAUUCAUUGUGUCUCAUCUGAUGGAGCUAAUCCCACCCGAGUGUGGCCAGCCACCAAUUUUCACAUACUGCCAUUCUGACUGUUUUACUGUCAAGCUGUUUCUUAGUGACGUACAUUCAUUCAAGGCAAAGGGCUUACAAAACGCAACACAGCAUUCUGCCUUAGGAGGCAUUGCAGUGAAGCCUGUAAAAAGAGUUCAAGUGUUUCACCAGCCUGACUGAAGAGAUGGCACAGAUUUGCUUGUUAGCACACAAGUCCAUCCCUAGGUCAGGAACAAUUACUCUGAGUUCAACUUAAUUAUGCUAAUCAAGCAAGCAAUUAGAAGGAUAAGGGUGAGUGACUUGCAGAGAUGAAGAAAUAGCUAGCCUUUUUGGUAAAAAGGAUGACUUGUAAUUAGUGUGAAUGGAAAACUGAGAGCUUCGUUUGGACUGAGAGAGGAAGAAGUGGAGUGCAUUACCAGCCUACAUAGACAUUGGACAGAACAUCUUUCUUCAGUGUUCUUGUCCUUUGAGUUCUGAUUGUGAUGUCCACGCAAACAGGCCUGCAACAAGACCUCUCUUGAAAACAACAAUGGUGAAUUAUGCAUACUUCGACUUCUC